This 121-nucleotide microRNA precursor is filed under the name Callithrix jacchus (white-tufted-ear marmoset). Its description in RNAcentral is "mir-1257 microRNA precursor family". It matches the Rfam family "mir-1257 microRNA precursor family". Lineage: Eukaryota; Metazoa; Chordata; Mammalia; Primates; Cebidae. The record is from Rfam by way of RNAcentral.
ACCUGUGGGCCAGCUGGUGCUUGGGAGUGAAUGAGGGGUGCUGAGCCCCAUGUACCCCUGCCAGCCCCUGGCAUCGCUGGCCCCAUCCUUCACCCCUGCCAUCCACACUUGCCCUGUGUCU